This 493-nucleotide ribosomal RNA is filed under the name uncultured bacterium. RNAcentral describes it as "partial 16S ribosomal RNA". It matches the Rfam family "Bacterial small subunit ribosomal RNA", at positions 28 to 506 of the family's 1533-position model. The record is from RNAcentral.
GACGAACGCUGGCGGCGUGCUUAACACAUGCCAGUCGAACGGUGAAGCGCCUUCCUUUUUGGUCGGUGUGUAUGAGCGGCCAACGGGUGAGUAACACGUGAGUAACCUUCCCCCUUCUUCUGGAUAACCGCAUGAAAGUGUGGCUAAUACGGGAUAUUCUGGGUCUGUCGCAUGAUUGGUCUGGGACAGUUAUUGUUUCGGUGGGGGAUGGGCGCGCGGCCUAUCAGCUUGUUGGUGGGGUGAUGGCCUACCAAGGCGGUGACGGGUAGCCGGCCUGAGAGGGUGGACAGUCACACUGGGAGUGAGGGACGGCACAGACACCGACGGGAGGCAGCAGUAGGGAAUAUUGCACAGUGGACGCAAGCCUGAUGCAGCGACGCCGCGUGAGGGAUGGAGGCGUUCGGGUUGUGAACCUCUUUCGCCAGUGAAGCAGGCCUGCCUCGUUUGUGGGUGGGUUGACGGUAGCUGGAUAAGAAGCGCCGGCUAACUACGU